GGGGGAUUUUAAAGAAUUAACUAUUGAGGAUGUUAGGCAAUAUUUUAUAAGCAUGGGCGGAAAAGUAAAAAAUCAAGAUUUAGUAAAACAUUUCAAGAAAUACUUUUUAAAUGGUGAUCCUGAAAAGCAAGUGGAAGCAAGAAACCAGUUUAAGGAUUACAUUAACACUUUGGCCACAGUUAAACUAGUAGAGGGUAUUAAGUACUUGACAUUAAAAAAAAAGUACUGGGAGAUAAAACUUUGUGAUGAAGAACUUGACAAAUCAUCAUCAAGUUUGGAAAAUUUGUCGGGACUGAAGUCCCCUCAAAUGUAUAGUCAGAAACUUCAAGGAAGCCCUGCCUUUGAUGAUGGAGAAAGCAGAAAAGAUCAAAAGAAAGUAAAGAAAAUGUCACCAGAUCUCAGCAGAGCAUCUUCUAGUUCUCCUGAAAUGCUUGGAAGUUUACAAUCUCCCCACAGCCAGUCAAGUCCAAGUAUAUUAGAAGCUGUUAUGUUAAGUGCUGUCAGAGCUGUUAGUGAACCACCUUUGGGAACUCACAUGCCUUGUGAUGUUGUCAGUAGUCCAGUUGAAGUACCACCUUCGCCAAUCUCUAGGCCACAGAAUAUGGAUUUGCCAACAAACCAGCCACCAAGACCUCCUCCUCGACGGAAAAGUCACGGAAGAGGGAAGGAAAAUAGAGGAGCUAAAAUUGAGGAAAGGGUUAAACAGUUUAGUGAAGAUGGGCAGCUAGCACAGGAAAGUCCGAAAGAAAAAGACCUCAGUGAUCUGACCGUUAGUCCGGGGAGUGUCAAGGAACGUGCUCAAAAAUUGAAUAAAAUGGCAUCAGAGUCAGACCUAACUUUUAAGCCCACCCCUGUCUUGGGGCUCAGCACAACAGGAAAAAAACGUGAAAAUAGGAGUUCAGAGUACGACGAUUCUUCUGUGAACACGCUUGACCCAAGGCGUCGAGAGUGGAUUUUAAAAGCAGCUCAAGCCGACUAUCACUCAUUGGUUCGCCUUUUGAAAGAAGAACCCAAGUUGGCAUUUUUCAGGCACAACUCUUGAAGAUGCGUGAAGAUUAUGCGAUCGGCCCUGAGUAACUUUCGCAGAUGACUGAAAGAUAAGACGUCAGCGCUGAUGUGAUGACACUCAUUUUCAUACACAGCGUAUAAACAGAGAAGUGUUUUGUUAUUACAGCUGCUAGAUAAAUCAACCAAUGUUAUCAUUUUUGUAACGACAUGUGUACUCGUGGCAGGUCACUUUAAUCAUCUGAAAAGAAUUCUAUAGUAACAUUUCGAGUUUGUAAUAGAUCUUGGAUAUGAUGAUGUGAUGUCAUGUUAUGGAACUCAGAACUUUAAGAAUUAAAACUUUGUCAACGGAAAGCCGCCAAGAAACAACUGUACGCUUUCCCACUUCUUGGCCCGAAAAGAAAAACUUCAAAUCUGGACUUCAUCACUGGGGUAAGUGUGACCUUU
Limulus polyphemus (Atlantic horseshoe crab) is the source of this 1452-nucleotide RNA transcript. It is a transcript of the gene named ankyrin repeat domain-containing protein SOWAHA-like, with no coding region annotated. The record is from RefSeq and is a predicted model, not a curated record. NCBI's taxonomy places the organism in Eukaryota, Metazoa, Arthropoda, Merostomata, Xiphosura, Limulidae. The transcript is spliced from 9 exons.